This 436-nucleotide ribosomal RNA is filed under the name uncultured bacterium. RNAcentral describes it as "bacterial SSU rRNA". It matches the Rfam family "Bacterial small subunit ribosomal RNA", at positions 29 to 510 of the family's 1533-position model. The record is from RNAcentral.
AACGAACGCUGGCGGCAUGCCUAACACAUGCAAGUCGAACGGGACCUUCGGGUCUAGUGGCGCACGGGUGCGUAACGCGUGGGGAUCUGCCCUUAGGUACGGAAUAACUCAGGGAAACUUGAGCUAAUACCGUAUAAUGACUUCGGUCCAAAGAUUUAUCGCCUAGGGAUGAACCCGCGUAGGAUUAGCUUGUUGGUGAGGUAAAGGCUCACCAAGGCGACGAUCCUUAGCUGGUCUGAGAGGAUGAUCAGCCACACUGGGACUGAGACACGGCCCAGACUCCUACGGGAGGCAGCAGUGGGGAAUAUUGGACAAUGGGCGAAAGCCUGAUCCAGCAAUGCCGCGUGAGUGAUGAAGGCCUUAGGGUUGUAAAGCUCUUUUACCCGGGAUGAUAAUGACAGUACCGGGAGAAUAAGCUCCGGCUAACUCCGUGCCA